Molecule: transfer RNA, 85 nt
Filed under: Betaproteobacteria bacterium CG2_30_68_42
Lineage: Bacteria; Pseudomonadati; Pseudomonadota; Betaproteobacteria
Also listed under: 6 other names
Description: tRNA-Leu
Rfam family: tRNA
About the family: Transfer RNA (tRNA) molecules are approximately 80 nucleotides in length.
Source: RNAcentral
GCCGACGUGGUGGAAUUGGUAGACACGCCGUCUUGAGGGGGCGGUGGCGAAAGCCGUAUGAGUUCGAGUCUCAUCGUCGGCACCA